This is a long non-coding RNA of Charadrius vociferus (killdeer), 354 nucleotides long. RefSeq lists it as uncharacterized. The record is from RefSeq and is a predicted model, not a curated record. Lineage: Eukaryota; Metazoa; Chordata; Aves; Charadriiformes; Charadriidae. The transcript has 3 exons.
GAUGGUGGUACUGGAAUUGAUUUUGGACAUCACUUCAGUUCAAGGUUGAAGUUAAAAGGUCUUUUUGAGGCUUAGAAGAAGCAGGUAUUAAGUCAUGAUGCAGGAAUCUGCGACAGAGACAAUAAGCAACAGUUCAAUGAAUCAAAAUGGAAUGAGCACUCUAAGCAGCCAAUUAGAUGCUGGCAGCAGAGAUGGAAGAUCAAGUGGUGACACGAGCACUGAAGUAAGCACAGUAGAACUGCUGCAUCUGCAACAACAGCAGGCACUCCAGGCAGCAAGGCAGCUGCUUUUACAGCAACAGACAAGUGGACUGAAAUCUCCUAAGGGCAGUGAUAAACAGAGACCACUGCAGGU